RNAcentral lists this ribosomal RNA (253 nucleotides) under uncultured bacterium. RNAcentral describes it as "partial 16S ribosomal RNA". It matches the Rfam family "Bacterial small subunit ribosomal RNA", at positions 524 to 776 of the family's 1533-position model. The record is from RNAcentral.
UACGUAGGGGGCAAGCGUUGUCCGGAAUCAUUGGGCGUAAAGCGCGUGUAGGCGGCUUGGUAAGUCCGCUCUGAAAGCCCGGGGCUCAACCCCGGGAGGCGGGUGGAUACUGCUGGGCUCGAGUCCGGAAGAGGAGUGUGGAAUUCCUGGUGUAGCGGUGAAAUGCGCAGAUAUCAGGAGGAACACCUAUUGCGAAGGCAGCUCGCUGGGACGUAACUGACGCUGAGACGCGAAAGCGUGGGGAGCAAACAGG